RNAcentral lists this ribosomal RNA (638 nucleotides) under Fusarium oxysporum f. sp. vanillae. Its description in RNAcentral is "eukaryotic LSU rRNA". Lineage: Eukaryota; Fungi; Ascomycota; Sordariomycetes; Hypocreales; Nectriaceae. The record is from RNAcentral.
GUAGMYAGUGAGGCGUCCGGACUGGCCCAGAGAGGUGGGCAACUACCACUCAGGGCCGGAAAGCUCUCCAAACUCGGUCAUUUAGAGGAAGUAAAAGUCGUAACAAGGUCUCCGUUGGUGAACCAGCGGAGGGAUCAUUACCGAGUUUACAACUCCCAAACCCCUGUGAACAUACCACUUGUUGCCUCGGCGGAUCAGCCCGCUCCCGGUAAAACGGGACGGCCCGCCAGAGGACCCCUAAACUCUGUUUCUAUAUGUAACUUCUGAGUAAAACCAUAAAUAAAUCAAAACUUUCAACAACGGAUCUCUUGGUUCUGGCAUCGAUGAAGAACGCAGCAAAAUGCGAUAAGUAAUGUGAAUUGCAGAAUUCAGUGAAUCAUCGAAUCUUUGAACGCACAUUGCGCCCGCCAGUAUUCUGGCGGGCAUGCCUGUUCGAGCGUCAUUUCAACCCUCAAGCACAGCUUGGUGUUGGGACUCGCGUUAAUUCGCGUUCCUCAAAUUGAUUGGCGGUCACGUCGAGCUUCCAUAGCGUAGUAGUAAAACCCUCGUUACUGGUAAUCGUCGCGGCCACGCCGUUAAACCCCAACUUCUGAAUGUUGACCUCGGAUCAGGUAGGAUCGGAAAAUAGAAAAAAAAGG